UACAGAGGUCUCAAGCGUUAUUCGGAAUCACUGGGCUUAAAGGGCGCGUAGACGGGUCGGCGCAUCGGUCGCUGAAAUCCCCCGGCUCAACCGGGGAACGGGCGCCGAGAUGGCCGUCCUCGAGUGGAGGAGAGGGACCUGGAACUGCCGGUGGAGCGGUGAAAUGCGUUGAGAUCGGCAGGAACUCCGAUGGCGAAAGCAAGGUCCUGGACUCCCACUGACGUUGAGGCGCGAAAGCCAGGGGAGCGAACGGG
Molecule: ribosomal RNA, 254 nt
Filed under: uncultured bacterium
Lineage: Bacteria
Description: partial 16S ribosomal RNA
Rfam family: Bacterial small subunit ribosomal RNA
Source: RNAcentral